This 171-nucleotide microRNA precursor is filed under the name Oryza barthii. RNAcentral's name for it is "MIR812 microRNA precursor family". It matches the Rfam family "MIR812 microRNA precursor family", at positions 27 to 194 of the family's 205-position model. Lineage: Eukaryota; Viridiplantae; Streptophyta; Magnoliopsida; Poales; Poaceae. The record is from Rfam by way of RNAcentral.
GAUAACGUUUGAUUGUCCGUCUUAUAUGAAAUUUUUUUAUAAUUAGUAUUUUCAAUGUUGUUAGAUGAUAAAACAUGAUUAAUACUUUAUGCAUGACUUGUCUUUUUAAUUUUUUUUAAUUUUUUUUUCAAAUAAGACGGACGGUCAAACGUUAGAUACGGAAAUACAUGG